CACCCCCGGUCCCUUGGGUCCCUGCCCCCUUGGGUGCUUGCCCCAACUCCCCAGCCUCCCAGCCUGUGACCAUCACACGGAGCUCAGCCUGCCACUCUCACAAGGACGAUCGCCUGCCCUAACCCCUGGCCACGCUGCCCCACAAGGCGUGUGCUAUGAACAUGGGGUUUCCCGGGUGCCUCCUGCUCCCAGCUGGGCACCCCCUUGGCAGGAGCUCGGCUGCCUGCGCUGGAGCUGGGAAGACAAAGAUCCCCAUCCUCCUGGUCUGGCUUUGGGGACUGGAAAAUGUUACAAUAUUGGCAAUUACAAUUCCUGUUUCGGUGGGUGUGAUUUUGGCUCUUGUUCUGCCCCUGGUGUAUUACCUUAAGAAGAAGAAGAAAGGUAUGUAAACAUGGAAACCUCACAUUAUUCACAAAUGAACAGGUAUAGGAGGCAAACAAAGGACAUAAAAAAGAGAUUCCCACCUCACAUGGUGUUCUCAGACAUGGGAAACCUGAAGAAAAUAACAUUUAAAUAAUUGCCAUAUAGAAAAUCUGAACCUGAAAUGUGAACCCUUUCAGACAUUGAGGGUAAAGAGAGCAAAAUGGGGGUUAAACUCCAGCUCUGAACUUAAUCUUCUGAGGUCCUUUCCAGACCUAUGAUUCUAUCUAGACCAUCCAUGCAGGACCAUGUAAACCUAGAUGAUCCCUGGCAGAUGUUUAUCUAACCUCUUCUUAAAAUCCUCCGAUGAAGGGGCUUCCACUACUUAGCUAAAUAACCUAUUCCAGUGCUUGACUAUCCUUAGAGUUAGAAAGUUUUCCUAAUACCUAACCUUAAACCGCCCUUGCUGCAGAUUAAGACCAUUAAUUCAUGUUUUACUUAACAGACAUGGAGAACAAUUUAUCACCUCCUCUUCAUAACUUGUACCUAAAGUUUUGGUUUGAGAUAUAUUUUCUGGAUCUGAUUUGGAUUUGGUUUGACAUGGAAGAAAUCUUGCAAGAACAGCUGAUUUUGUGAGACUUGAAUGAUUUGAGAUCAAAAUCAUAUGACCCACAGCUUGUCAGAUUUCACCACUGACCCUGAGCCUAUACACUAGUCCAGGAUUGACCUUGAGUCUGAAUUUAGGAGCUGGUCAAUAUUUUUCAAAUUUCAAAAAUUGGAUGAAAAUCCAGAUUUUGAUAUUUGAAACAAACUAGAAAAACAUUCGUUAAGGGGCUUAUUCCUUCACCCUCUCACUUCCCUGGUCCUUCUCGCAUGAACAGAGAGCAACAAUACCUGAAGUCCAAAGGCGCAAACAAUUUGAUGUUUAUUAGGGUGAACUUCCAGCAAGCAUGAUUCCAGUUUCCUUCCUCAGUGUUCCCCUUCCCAGCUCUGACACCACAGAGCCAUCCCUGUUCCCAUUCCCCCCUU
This 1389-nucleotide long non-coding RNA is filed under the name Chrysemys picta bellii (western painted turtle). RNAcentral's name for it is "lncRNA (ENSCPBG00000021444.1)". Lineage: Eukaryota; Metazoa; Chordata; Testudines; Emydidae. The record is from RNAcentral.